RNAcentral lists this ribosomal RNA (585 nucleotides) under Triticum aestivum (bread wheat). RNAcentral describes it as "partial small subunit ribosomal RNA". Lineage: Eukaryota; Viridiplantae; Streptophyta; Magnoliopsida; Poales; Poaceae. The record is from RNAcentral.
AUGCUGCCGGCUGGCGUCAAGUUCGAUCCCACGGAUCAGGAGCUGAUCGAGCACCUUCAGGCCAAAGUGAGUGCUGACAGCGCGAGAUUUCAGUCUCUCAUCGAUUUGUUCAUACCAACCAUCGACAGUGAGCACGGCAUAUGCUACACCCAACCAGAGAAACUUCCAGGUAUCACACUGAGUGUCCUAAGGAAGCAUUUCUUCCAGCGCAAUUCUAGGGCGUUCAAAAGGGGAACGUGGACGCGUCGCAAGAUACAGUCGGAGUGCGGCAUGCACGCGAUGUGGCACAAGACCGGCAAUACCUUGCCGGUGAUGAGGACCAACUGGGUGAUGCACCAGUACCACCUCAGGGACCUGGAGCAAGAGAAGGAGCGGGAGCUGGUCCUCUGCAAGAUUUUCUACCAGACGAACACUAGGGCCGGGAGUAAAAAGAUUAUAAGUCGAGCAAGUUUCAACUGGGCUGUAGACUGCCCAGGGUUGGUUUUGUUUUUAACAGGCCCAGCCCAUGACAACAACGGGGCACAAAGAUCCAGCAGUUGUUUUUUCCCACCCAGCGCUGAUUUUUUACCACUGGUUUUCCCUUAA